RNAcentral lists this unclassified non-coding RNA (2608 nucleotides) under Lingula anatina. RNAcentral describes it as "zinc finger protein 862-like, transcript variant X3". The record is from RNAcentral. Lineage: Eukaryota; Metazoa; Brachiopoda; Lingulata; Lingulida; Lingulidae.
AGAUGGAGCAAUCAUGUCAGCAAUGAAGUCCGUGUACUGGCUAGUUCAAGAGGGCAUAGCAAUUCGAAAGUUUGGAAGCCUAAUAGAGUUGCUACGGCACCUGGAUUGCCCCAACCUUUCAUACUUAGACCAAGGAGGCAAUGCAAAGUAUAAUUCUGAUACAGCAGGGUGGGAUAUGGUUGCUGCUAUUGCUGCCACAGUUGAGGAAGACUUGCUUCAGAAAAUGAAGUCUUCACCAUUUCUAACAAUACUAGCAGACGAGAGCACUGAUAUAACAGUAACAAAAAAGUUGGUUAUAUGUGUCAGACUUUUAGAUGAUAACUUUGUUCCUUCUACCCACUUUGUAGCCGACAUAAAUGUCACAGAUGGCAAGGGUGCCACAGUUGCAGCAGUUAUCAAAUAUUAAAUCAAAGGAGAUCCCCCUUAGUAAGAUAUAUGGUUUUGGUUCUGAUGGUGCAGCGAGCAUGACCAGCAUGGGAAAUGGAGUUGCAGGCAGACUGCUUGCUGAAAAUCCUGCGAUGGUUCACAUACACUGUAUUGCCCACAGAUUGGCUUUAUGUACUAGCCAGGCAGCAAAUGCUAUAGACUAUAUGAAGGACUAUCAAUCAACUAUUACCAGUAUAUUUUAUUACUUUAAAGCAUCAUCUGUCAGGGUAAACAGAAUCACAGCUAUUCAGGAGCUGCUGGAUGAACCUAUUUUAAAGUGCAAUGAAGUCCAUGAGGUUCGAUGGUUGCCCUACUACAAAGCAAUAGAAACAAUCUACAGGACUUAUGGGUCAUUAGUGUCCUAUAUGUCUGAAAUGGGGGCAAGUGAUGCCAAGGCAAAAGGUUUUGCAAAGAAACUUUCACAAUUCAGUUUUGUUUUUGUCACCCAUAUGCUUUUGUCCAUCCUCAGCAUUGUCACAGAGCUAUGUUUACUCUUCCAAAAGAAAGAUCUUGACCCAGCCUUGGUGGAUGUUAAUGUGAAGCAUGCAUUGAGAGAACUGCAAAAGCACAGGGACCAUGCCACAAGUAGUGAAGGGUUGUCUGGUAAACCUGGCAGCUACAUCGAGGAAUUUCUCCUGAAGGUGGGAACAGGUCAACGUAAUUUCUUCAGGGACCACCUUCUGACUUGUUGUGCUAAUUAUGAAAAACAAUGCAAGGCAAUUCAGUGUCAAUUUAUUGACAAUCUCAUUUAACAACAUAAAUGCCAGAUUUCCCCAGGAUCACUUGGAUAUGGUAACAGCAUUUGGGUAUUUGAGCAUGAGACCACUAAGCUUUUUGUCUGAGUCAGAAAGAGAAAAUUGGGGUGAAGUCCCUAUACAGAAACUUGCUAGCCAUUAUGGUAACAUUAUUGAACAUCAUGGGUCCAAAUCAGUGCCAAUAAUAAUUGAAAAACAAGGUAUGAGUGAAUGGUCUAAACUCAAAGAAUUGGUUUUCAGAAUGGGGUAUGCGAGAGAUGCCACCUGCAAACUGUGGAGCAUUAUCAAAACUCACCAUAGUGAAGACUUUCCCAAUUUGUUGAAGCUGGCUGCAAUCUCCCUCAUCCUUCCGAUACACACGUCAGAUUGUGAGAGAACAUUAAGUUCUCAAAACUACAUCAAAAAACCACAGAACAAACAGACUGUCUGAAACAAGACUUCAGCAGUGCUUGGUCAUUAUGAUAGAAGGAAAGGCAAUUGGGGACUUUGACUUUAAGAGUGCCUUAGAUAUUUGGAAAAAGGAAAAGAAAUGUAGAAUUUAUAACAAGCAGUGAGCUGUACACUUUGGAGUGGUUACAAGGCAGCAAGAGAACUGGUAUAGACCUGUCAUUCAGGAUUAAUUAGUGAUUUAUGUCAUCCAGUGAUUCAUGUCUAGAUGUCUUACCAGUACACCUGUGGCAGAGUACCCCAGAAUGGACCUUUUUCUGACAAAAAGGGCAGUUCUUUCGAACCCCCGAACCCCCCUGGCUACAGGCCUGCUACCUGACAGCAACAGCCAGCAAACAAAGCCACGUGUUAUCCUUUCCACCUUACUUAACUGCAGGCAAUCCGUCAAUAGAGAGUGCAGUGAAAAAAUUACAAAUGGUUUAAAAUUAACAUUUAAUAUGUAGUAUGCAUUUUCAACUGAGAACAAAAUUAUUAAAGGCAUUUCUUCAUCUGAAUCAUAAAUGGUACCAGACAGUACCAGAAGCGAUAUACUGUUAAUACUAUACUGUUAAUAUUCCUGUUUAUAUUCCUCCAAUGAAAUGCAGAUUAUGUAUUUGUAAAAAACACAUCAACUUAUUAGCUCUUGGUAGUUUUCACGCAGCCUGGUUUUGGUUGAAAUAAGAAUUUUCCUCAUGUACUCUUAAAUAUGAAUCUGCACUUAAGUGUGAAACUGAGUGAUCCUGAUGACCACAGUGUACAGCUCUUCGUAUCUUUUGUGAUCUUAUGUGGGCAGUUUGCCUCUAUGACAUAUACUUGUAUAUAUAUGAACAAUGAACAGUUCACUUAAUAAUGUGAUGCUCAUAUAGACCAAUAUAUAUCUUGAUCAUAAAGUUUGUUUAUUGUUUACAUUGCAUAAUUUAGUCUUUUACAAAGCCUUUUUCUGUUUUUGUUUUUUUUUUAACUUGCAGUAAUGAAUAAACUUAGAAUAGUUAUCAUUGUCA